This 245-nucleotide ribosomal RNA is filed under the name uncultured Legionella sp. Its description in RNAcentral is "partial 16S ribosomal RNA". It matches the Rfam family "Bacterial small subunit ribosomal RNA", at positions 524 to 768 of the family's 1533-position model. The record is from RNAcentral. Lineage: Bacteria; Pseudomonadati; Pseudomonadota; Gammaproteobacteria; Legionellales; Legionellaceae.
UACGGAGGGUGCAAGCGUUAAUCGGAAUUACUGGGCGUAAAGGGUGCGUAGGUGGUCUGAUAAGUUAUCUGUGAAAUCCCUGGGCUUAACCUGGGCAGGUCAGAUAAUACUGUUGGACUCGAGUAUGGGAGAGGGUAGUGGAAUUUCCGGUGUAGCGGUGAAAUGCGUAGAGAUCGGAAGGAACACCAGUGGCGAAGGCGGCUACCUGGCCUAAUACUGACACUGAGGCACGAAAGCGUGGGGAG